GAAUAAUCCACAUUGACUGGAUUAAAUCGGUCAACCUGUGGCUGCAGGUCAAAAACGUGCGCCGGCGUGAAACUGGGGGCUGGACGUCAAGCGGCGGUCCUCUGACCUGCCGUUCAUUCCCAUUGGACGGAAUCAGCAAAGCGAAGCAAGCGGAGAAAACAGGCUGAUUCAUGAUGUCUCAGGGAUGGAAAGUGGCUGGUUCAACCAGUCUGAAGGCCCAGGGAAAGGUCACAGGUCACGCAUGUACUCCACCCCCCACGUUAAUUAAUGUAUUUAUAUAUUUAUAUCAGGA
Long non-coding RNA from Mugil cephalus (flathead mullet), 292 nucleotides. RefSeq lists it as uncharacterized. The record is from RefSeq and is a predicted model, not a curated record. NCBI's taxonomy places the organism in Eukaryota, Metazoa, Chordata, Actinopteri, Mugiliformes, Mugilidae. The transcript has 3 exons.